Long non-coding RNA from Chenopodium quinoa (quinoa), 1355 nucleotides. RefSeq lists it as uncharacterized. The transcript is spliced from 2 exons. Lineage: Eukaryota; Viridiplantae; Streptophyta; Magnoliopsida; Caryophyllales; Amaranthaceae. The record is from RefSeq and is a predicted model, not a curated record.
ACGUAUUUUUUUUAAUAUCAAAAAUGAACAUUUGUAACCAACAAUUGACAUGUUCAUUACAAAUAGGUACCUAUUUGUAACUAACAUAUCAAUUGUCGGUUACAAAUAUUCACCUGUUUGUAACCAACAUAUUAAAUGUCUGUUACAAAUACAUAACUAUUUGUAACUAACAACUGAAAUGUUAGUUACGAAUAGGUACCUAUUUGUAACGGACAAUGUCCGUUACAAAUAACAGGACUAUUUGUAACCCCAGUACUUGUAACGGCCAAUGUUGGUUACAAAAAGCCCGUUUUUGUUAGUUACGAAUAACGUUUUUUCUACUAGUGAAUCUUACUCUGAUUACUCUUUAUUCACAUAUGCUACAGGCAAAGUUCAGAUUACUGUCAUAGUUUAUGUUGAGGAUUUAAUUAUUUCUGGGAAUGAUUCCGCUGGCUUAUCUUAGCUUCAAGAUGAAGGACCUUGGUCCUUUGAAAUGUCCUUCGAAAUAUUUUUUGGGUAUUGAGGUCUUUUGGGAGAAAAGCCUAGUGGCUUUCCUAUGGAGCAAAACCACAAGUUGAGUCUUGCUACUGGUGAUCUUCUCUCUGAUCCGGAGGCAUAUCGACGACUAGUUGGCCGUUUGAUUUAUCUUGCUGUUACUCGUCCUGAUUUAGCAUACUCGAUUCAUGUUUUAUCUUAUUUUAUGCAAGAAUCUCAUAGUGAGCAUUGGGAUGCUGCAUUAAGGGUGGUCUGUUAUUUGAAAGGCACUCCGGUAUAGGAAAUUUUAUUGAGCUCUGAGUGUGACUUGAAUCCGUAGGGUUGGUGUGACUCAGAUUGGGCUGCAUGUCCUCUAACACAUCAUUCUUUGUUUGGUUGGCUAGUGUUUCUUGGUACGUCUCCCAUUUCAUGGAAAACCAAGAAGCAACCCAUAGUGUCAACGUCUUCUACACAAGCUGAAUGCCGUUCCAUGUAGGCAAUUACAUGUGAUCUAAAGUGGAUCAAAGCUUUGUUGUUAAGUCUCAGUGUGCAACAUCCGAAAGCAAUCAAAUUAUUUUGUGACAAUGAGUCGGCUCUUCAUCUUGCUAAAUUUCCCGUGUUUCAUGAACGAACAAAGCAUAUUGAGGUUGAUUUCCACUUUGUUCGUGAUGCAAUUACCGAAGGGUUGAUUUCUCCUUCUCAUAUUUCGACUUCGUCUCAGCUUGCGGAUAUAUUCACAAAGGCUCUUGGCAAAUCAGAGUUCAAUUAUCUUCGUUCUAAGUUGGGCAUUUAUGACCCGCAUGCUCAACUUGAGGGGGGGGGGGGUAUUGAGAUAUUAUGGGAUAUUAAUUGAUUUACUAGAAUAUUAUCUCAUGUAUAUUUUAGUUAACUUUAUAUUUUCC